UUGUAUAAUGGGUCACCGACUUACAUUCAGUAGCAAGCUUAACCGAUAGGGGAGGCGUAGCGAAAGCGAGUCCGAAUAGGGCGUCUAGUUGCUGGGUGUAGACCCGAAACCAAGUGAUCUAUCCAUGGCCAGGAUGAAGGUGCCGUAACAGGUACUGGAGGUCCGAACCCACAAAUGUUGAAAAAUUUGGGGAUGAGCUGUGGAUAGGGGUGAAAGGCUAAACAAACUUGGAAAUAGCUGGUUCUCUCCGAAAACUAUUUAGGUAGUGCCUCGUAUAUCAUUCUCGGGGGUAGAGCACUGUUAUGACUAGGGGGAUCAUAAGAUCUUACCAACUCAUUGCAAACUCCGAAUACUGAGAAAUGCAAUUACGGGAGACAGACCAUGGGUGCUAACGUCCGUGGUCAAGAGGGAAACAACCCAGACCGACAGCUAAGGUCCCAAAUGACGUGCUAAGUGGAAAACGAAGUGGGAAGGCAUAGACAGCCAGGAUGUUGGCUUAGAAGCAGCCAUCAUUUAAAGAAAGCGUAAUAGCUCACUGGUCGAGUCGUCCUGCGCGGAAGAUGUAACGGGGCUAAGCACGUAACCGAAGCUUCGGAUGCUGCACUAUUUAUAGUGUAUGCAUGGUAGGAGAGCGUUCUGUAGGCCUGCGAAGGUGUUCUGUGAGGAAUGCUGGAGGUAUCAGAAGUGCGAAUGCUGACAUGAGUAGCGAUAAAGGGAGUGAAAAGCUCCCUCGCCGAAAACCCAAGGUUUCCUGCGCAACGUUCAUCGGCGCAGGGUGAGUCGGCCCCUAAGGUGAGGCAGAGAUGCGUAGCUGAUGGGAAACAGGUUAAUAUUCCUGUACCUUUAUAUAAUGCGAUGUGGGGACGGAGAAGGUUAGGUCAGCCGGGUGUUGGAUGUCCCGGUUCAAGCGUGUAGGUUGGUUCUUUAGGCAAAUCCGGAGAGCUAAGACUGAGACGUGAUAACGAGUCUACUUGUAGACGAAGUGAUUGAUACCAUGCUUCCAAGAAAAGCCACUAAGCUUCAGUUGUAUAGAGACCGUACCGCAAACCGACACAGGUGGGUAGGAUGAGAAUUCUAAGGCGCUUGAGAGAACCCGGGAGAAGGAACUCGGCAAAUUAGCACCGUAACUUCGGGAGAAGGUGCGCCCCGGUAGAGUGUAGAGACUUGCUCUUGAAGCUCGAUGGGGUUGCAGUGAAAAGGUGGCUGCGACUGUUUAAUAAAAACACAGCACUCUGCAAACACGAAAGUGGACGUAUAGGGUGUGACGCCUGCCCGGUGCUGGAAGAUUAAAUGAUGGGGUGCAAGCUCUUGAUUGAAGUCCCAGUAAACGGCGGCCGUAACUAUAACGGUCCUAAGGUAGCGAAAUUCCUUGUCGGGUAAGUUCCGACCCGCACGAAUGGCGUAACGAUGUCCACACUGUCUCCUCUCGGGACUCAGCGAAGUUGAAAUGUUUGUGAAGAUGCAAUCUACCCGCGGUAAGACGGAAAGACCCCAUGAACCUUUACUAUAGCUUGACAGUGACAUUCGGAAUAGCUUGUGUAGGAUAGGUGGGAGACUUUGAAGCUGGCACGCCAGUGUCGGUGGAGUCGUCCUUGAAAUACCACCCUGGUUGUUUUGGAUGUCUAACCUAGGCCCGUCAUCCGGGUCGGGAACACUGUCUGGUGGGUAGUUUGACUGGGGCGGUCGCCUCCCAAAGAGUAACGGAGGCGCGCGAAGGUUCCCUCAGGCCGAUUGGAAACCGGCCGUAGAGUGCAAUGGCAUAAGGGAGCUUGACUGCGAGACCAACAAGUCGAGCAGGUACGAAAGUAGGUCAUAGUGAUCCGGCGGUUCUGUAUGGAAGGGCCGUCGCUCAACGGAUAAAAGGUACUCCGGGGAUAACAGGCUGAUCUCCCCCAAGAGUUCACAUCGACGGGGAGGUUUGGCACCUCGAUGUCGGCUCAUCGCAUCCUGGGGCUGAAGUAGGUCCCAAGGGUUUGGCUGUUCGCCAAUUAAAGCGGUACGCGAGCUGGGUUUAAAACGUCGUGAGACAGUUUGGUCCCUAUCUACCGUGGGCGCAGGAUACUUGAGAAGAGCUGUCCUUAGUACGAGAGGACCGGGAUGGACGUACCGCUAGUGUUCCAGUUGUGCCGCCAGGCGCAGUCGCUGGGUAGCCACGUACGGAAAGGAUAACCGCUGAAAGCAUCUAAGCGGGAAGCCUCCUUCAAGAUUAGUAUCCACUGGGUGUACAACACCCUGAAGGCCCGUUUAGACCA
Molecule: ribosomal RNA, 2252 nt
Filed under: freshwater sediment metagenome
Description: bacterial LSU rRNA
Rfam family: Bacterial large subunit ribosomal RNA
Source: RNAcentral